RNAcentral lists this transfer RNA (94 nucleotides) under Ipomoea nil (Japanese morning glory). It matches the Rfam family "tRNA". From Rfam's summary of the family: Transfer RNA (tRNA) molecules are approximately 80 nucleotides in length. Their secondary structure includes four short double-helical elements and three loops (D, anti-codon, and T loops). Lineage: Eukaryota; Viridiplantae; Streptophyta; Magnoliopsida; Solanales; Convolvulaceae. The record is from Rfam by way of RNAcentral.
CCGACCUUAGCUCAGUUGGUAGAGCGGAGGACUGUAGUUUGAUUAAUCUAAAUUGGAAAUCCUUAGAUUGCUGGAUCGAAUCCAGCAGGUUGGA